Molecule: transfer RNA, 83 nt
Filed under: Ruminococcus bromii
Lineage: Bacteria; Bacillati; Bacillota; Clostridia; Eubacteriales; Oscillospiraceae
Also listed under: 4 other names
Description: tRNA-Leu
Rfam family: tRNA
About the family: Transfer RNA (tRNA) molecules are approximately 80 nucleotides in length. Their secondary structure includes four short double-helical elements and three loops (D, anti-codon, and T loops). Further hydrogen bonds mediate the characteristic L-shaped molecular structure. tRNAs have two regions of fundamental functional importance: the anti-codon, which is responsible for specific mRNA codon recognition, and the 3' end, to which the tRNAs corresponding amino acid is attached (by aminoacyl-tRNA synthetases). tRNAs cope with the degeneracy of the genetic code in two manners: having more than one tRNA (with a specific anti-codon) for a particular amino acid; and 'wobble' base-pairing, i.e. permitting non-standard base-pairing at the 3rd anti-codon position.
Source: RNAcentral
GCGCCCGUGGCGGAAUAGGCAGACGCGAUGGGUUUAGGUCCCAUUCCGAGAGGGUGCGGGUUCAAGUCCUGUCGGGCGCACCA